RNAcentral lists this ribosomal RNA (394 nucleotides) under uncultured bacterium. Its description in RNAcentral is "bacterial SSU rRNA". It matches the Rfam family "Bacterial small subunit ribosomal RNA", at positions 469 to 862 of the family's 1533-position model. The record is from RNAcentral.
AUGACGGUACUUGCAGAAGAAGCACCGGCUAACUACGUGCCAGCAGCCGCGGUAAUACGUAGGGAGCGAGCGUUAAUCGGAAUUACUGGGCGUAAAGCGUGCGCAGGCGGUUCUGCAAGUCAGAUGUGAAAUCUCCGGGCUUAACCUGGGAGCUGCGUUUGAAACUACGGAGCUAGAGUGCGGCAGAGGAGAGUGGAAUUCCACGUGUAGCAGUGAAAUGCGUAGAUAUCAGGAGGAACACCGGUGGCGAAGGCAGCUCUCUGGGCCGACACUGACGCUCAGGCACGAAAGCGUGGGGAGCAAACAGGAUUAGAUACCCUGGUAGUCCACGCCCUAAACGAUGUCUACUAGUUGUUGGUGAAUCAAUUCCUUCUGUACCGAAGCUAACGCGUGA